GCUCCCAUAGCUCAGUUGGUAGAGCGCGGCACUAGUAUCCUCACUGCCAUGCCGAGGUCAGCGGUUCAAAUCCGCUUGGGUGCA
This is a transfer RNA of 84 nucleotides. It matches the Rfam family "tRNA". From Rfam's summary of the family: Transfer RNA (tRNA) molecules are approximately 80 nucleotides in length. Their secondary structure includes four short double-helical elements and three loops (D, anti-codon, and T loops). The record is from Rfam.